UACUCGAGUGGCGAACGGGUGAGUAACACGUGGGUGAUCUGCCCUGCACUUCGGAUAAGCUUGGGAAACUGGGUCUAAUACCGGAUAGGAACCAUCUUUAGUGUGGUGGUUGGAAAGUUUUUUCGGUGUAGGAUGAGCUCGCGGCCUAUCAGCUUGUUGGUGGGGUAAUGGCCUACCAAGGCGGCGACGGGUAGCCGGCCUGAGAGGGUGUACGGCCACAUUGGGACUGAGAUACGGCCCAG
RNAcentral lists this ribosomal RNA (242 nucleotides) under uncultured Actinomycetales bacterium. RNAcentral describes it as "partial 16S ribosomal RNA". It matches the Rfam family "Bacterial small subunit ribosomal RNA", at positions 88 to 334 of the family's 1533-position model. The record is from RNAcentral. Lineage: Bacteria; Bacillati; Actinomycetota; Actinomycetes; Actinomycetales.